UCAAUCUCAAGCUUUGGCAGAGAAUAACAUAAAAUAAAAUAAAAUAAAAAUAAAAAUAAAAAUAAAAAGCCCCAGUGGAUUGUUCCCCCAACCAUGUGGAUCAAUCCCUUUCCACUUUCCCAUUACACAGUAAAGGAGCAAUUUUGGCUCUAAAAUUAUCGAUCGCUUACUAAAGGAGACGAGCCCCCUUUUACUGUGCCCUACCUUCAAUCCUCUUCUCCCUUCGAAUUCCUCAAGCAAAUUUCUCUCACUUCUCUCCACCGUCGAAUCUCUCUAACCCUUAUCACCCAAGCUGCCUCACUCUUCCCUCAUCACCUUUCAUCUCUCAUCUCUCAACACCGAGCACCACACUACCAUCACCAGGUCCGGCCGAAUCAAACCCAUCCCAACCUUAGGCCGCCUUUUCUGAAAUUUCAGGCGCAACUUACAGUCACCGAGUUCUCAAUUUCCGGUAAGCUCUUGGCCAAAAGGCUGAGCUAUGCUUUCUCAGUCUCGGGUCUCUCUCAUUCGGCUGGGUCUCUCCGGCAAUCGCGGCUGGUUGUUUUUCCGGCGAUUUUGACUGGGUUGCGGGUCUUUCCGGCGAGCUUGCGAAUCGCCGUUUUCUCCGGAGAUUUUGAUUUGGUCGACGGUUUUUGCCAGUUUCUGGGUUGCCGUUUCUGGGUUGGUUAGUCGGCCGUGAUUCGCUGUGCCGACGGGUUCUGAGUAUGUGAAUCGCCGUUUCCUUCCGGCGAUUUUGAUUUGGUUUUCUCCAGCGAUCGCAGCCGGGUUCUUCUCCGGAUCGCGUCUGUUGUUCUCCGGCGAUUUUGGCUUCGCUGAUCUCCUUUGCUUGUUCGGAUUGCAGGUAUAAAAAAACAAUACAAGAAGUAUAAAAAAAUAAAAAGGCAGCAGCAGCGUCGCGGCUGGUUCUUCUCCGGCGUCGUGACUCGCUGUUCUCCAGCGAUUUUGGCUGGGUUCUUCCGGCCGUGCUUGUAUAAGUCCGAUUCCGGCUGGGUUUUUUUUUGUGGUCACGGUUUAAGACUUGGACUGUGCUUCGCCCUUUAUUUUUUUCGGCUCGUUCUUCUCUGAUUCCGGCUGGUUCUUCUCCAGUGAUUUUGUGGGUUGUUAAUUGGGUUCCAGAUUCCAUUAUCAAAAACCCCAAUUGCUGAUUUUGUGAGUUGGGUUCCAGAUUCCACUAUUAAUUGGGUCGCCGUUCUCCUUUGCGUGCAUUAAUUGAUUCGGUAGAGUUGUUGCACUUGGUUGAAUCUGCCGUUCAUUACAAAGUGGGUGUUGCCAGUCUAAAAACUUUUUAAUACAAAGCCUGAACUAAUUCCCAUUUAAACCCUCCUAAGAGACUUCCAAACGUUUCAAACCCUCCUAAGAGACUUCCAAAGCCACGUGGCGUACCAAACGUCUGGAUUUUGAGACUACCUUCGACGUUGAAGGUAAGUUUCGCCACAAUGACACGACUGAAUGGGCGGUGUUAGAAUUUGAAGGAGGCAUUCGUCCUGUCUUUUUAGACUAGCCGCAGAGGUUGCAUAUCCUCGUACUGUGCGCCUGUUUUAUUAGAAUAUGGAAUGGUUUAGCGAUGCGCCGAAAAUAUUAGCUACAACCAUUGAUGGUGUCCGAAUUCACUUUGGUGUCUUGGACAUAGCCCAAGCAUUGGGGUUUGGACAUAGCCCAAGCAUUGGGGUGUCCACAUUUGUGCCCUACUAACUUGCUAGCAGAGAAUGGGGAGCUACGUUUUGGCAAGUAGCCAGAAAAAACUACCGUGUAUUCUAUUGUUAAGGAUAUGUGUGCCGGGAAGUAUGGUGAUAAGAAGAAGAAGAAUUGUGCCAGUAAGUCCUCAUUACCUAAGGCUAUGUGAUUUUUCGAUCAGAUUUUGAAACAGAAUGUUCAUCCAAUAGGUCAUAAGGUACAACGGGGGCAAGAGUUCUUAAUAGCAUUGUAUGCUACCCACACUGGAGCAUGGUUUUUUGUUCCAGCUCUCAUCUUUAACUAGAUGCAUAAAUACUGGAAGCAUUUAGUGGCGAGUGGGGAUCCGAAUGCGAAAAAAUGGAAACUCCCGUUUCCGUAUCUUAUUACCCAGCGCCUUGUCCUUCGGUGCUUCAUGGUUGAUAAUGAUAAAAUCUCUGAGGCUCUAUGGUUGACUUUUGGGCUAGCACAGUGGAACUUAAGCCUUUUCUCAUAUGCCUAGUGCUAAGAAAGAAAGUGAUGGCAUGACAGCAGGUGAUAGAGAGGAUGUGAAUGCUAUGGCUGAGGACGUUGUUGGGAGGUUCGAGGAGCAAAUUGCUGAUGGUACUAGUUAUGAGAUAGCACAGGUUGUGUCACCACAUGCAGAGGAGUAUGCGGGGGUGACUCAGACAGAGUUCAAUGCCAUUGUGGGGCAGGACCGAGUUGGUUGACUCUUAGGAACAGCAUCGAGUCAAGCAUGAUGAGCUUAUACAGCAGCACACCACUACCCCGCGCAUGCUACGGGAUCUUCUUGAGAUUGUUUCAUCGAGUGUCCCAUGCUCUUCCACAUUGCCUCCUGAUGCAUGAUUUCUUUUGUCUAUUUUAUGCUAUUCAGAUUUUUCCAUUUUAGGUGGUGGGGAUUUCAGGUGGCUAUAGUCAGAUUUUUGUGAUUUAGAGCUGGCUAUUUUGUGAACUUGUAUUUAUGGGUUUUCGUGAUAUAUUUUGGUUAUAUGCAUCCAUAUAUGUCUAGUACUGAUGCUUUUGCUAUAAAUUUAUACAUGGAUGAUUACUUUUGGCUUCUGUUGCUCAUAUUCAUGUGUUUUAUGGAUGCUUUCUACACUUAUGGGUGUCUACAUUUUUUUUCUUUCUUUUUUUCUAUUUUCUUUAUUUAUUUUAAAUAAAUAACCCAAAAAAAAAAAAAAAAAAAAAAAUCCUAGUAGCAUUCCGUCUUGUUAGAGACGUUAAACUUAGUCCAUUUUAUUUAUUUAUUUAUUUUGUAGGUUGUAUAUACAUGUUCUUUUUCUUUAUUUCUUAAAAAAAAAAAAUAAAAAAAAAAAGAAAAAAAAUAAAAAAAAA
Cornus florida is the source of this 3006-nucleotide long non-coding RNA. RefSeq lists it as uncharacterized. NCBI's taxonomy places the organism in Eukaryota, Viridiplantae, Streptophyta, Magnoliopsida, Cornales, Cornaceae. The record is from RefSeq and is a predicted model, not a curated record. The transcript is spliced from 2 exons.